This is a non-coding RNA of Marchantia paleacea, 80 nucleotides long. The record is from the annotation of a GenBank genome assembly. NCBI's taxonomy places the organism in Eukaryota, Viridiplantae, Streptophyta, Marchantiopsida, Marchantiales, Marchantiaceae.
UAUUAUAGGGAGAGUGGCCGAGUGGUUAAAAGCUACGGACCGAAGGUUUUCUAGGUAGGUUCGAAUCCUGCCUCUCCCAU